RNAcentral lists this ribosomal RNA (498 nucleotides) under uncultured bacterium. RNAcentral describes it as "partial 16S ribosomal RNA". It matches the Rfam family "Bacterial small subunit ribosomal RNA", at positions 27 to 507 of the family's 1533-position model. The record is from RNAcentral.
GGAUGAACGCUGGCGGCGUGCCUAAUCCAUGCAAGUCGAGCGAACAGAUAAGGAGCUUGCUCCUUUGACGUUAGCGGCGGACGGGUGAGUAACACGUGGGUAACCUACCUAUAAGACUGGAAUAACUCCGGGAAACCGGGGCUAAUGCCGGAUAACAUUUAGAACCGCAUGGUUCUAAAGUGAAAGAUGGUUUUACUAUCACUUAUAGAUGGACCCGCGCCGUAUUAGCUAGUUGGUAAGGUAACGGCUUACCAAGGCAACGAUACGUAGCCGACCUGAGAGGGUGAUCGGCCACACUGGAACUGAGACACGGUCCAGACUCCUACGGGAGGCAGCAGUAGGGAAUCUUCCGCAAUGGGCGAAAGCCUGACGGAGCAACGCCGCGUGAGUGAUGAAGGUCUUCGGAUCGUAAAACUCUGUUAUUAGGGAAGAACAAAUGUGUAAGUAACUGUGCACGUCUUGACGGUACCUAAUCAGAAAGCCACGGCUAACUACGUG